CCUACGGGUGACAGCAGUGAGGAAUAUUGGUCAAUGGGCGGGAGCCUGAACCAGCCAAGCCGCGUGAAGGAAGAAGGCGCCAAGCGUCGUAAACUUCUUUUGUCGGGGAACAAAGGGCGCCACGUGUGGCGUUGUGAGUGUCCCCGAAGAAAAAGCAUCGGCUAACUCCGUGCCAGCAGCCGCGGUAAUAGGGGGGAUGCGAUCGUUAUCCGGAUUUAUUGGGUUUAAAGGGGGCGUAGGCGGUCCGGAAAGUCAGCGGGAACAGCCCGGGGCUCAACCCCGGCGAGCCGUUGAAACUGUCGGACUAGAGACGGCGAGAGGGACGCGGAAUGCGCGGUGUAGCGGUGAAAUGCAUAGAUAUCACGCAGAACUCCGAUUGCGAAGGCAGCGUACCGGCGCCGGACUGACGCUGAGGCACGAAAGCGUGGGUAUCGAACAGGAUUAGAUACCCGAGUAGUC
This 459-nucleotide ribosomal RNA is filed under the name uncultured bacterium. RNAcentral's name for it is "partial 16S ribosomal RNA". It matches the Rfam family "Bacterial small subunit ribosomal RNA", at positions 338 to 795 of the family's 1533-position model. The record is from RNAcentral.